RNAcentral lists this unclassified non-coding RNA (149 nucleotides) under soil metagenome. RNAcentral's name for it is "partial internal transcribed spacer 1". The record is from RNAcentral.
CAAGAAGAGACCCUAACCGGUCCUCUCAACCCUGCCCAUCGUACCUUUUUUGUUGUUCCCUCGCGGUGCUCGCGGGCCCGCCGGCGGGAAGACCAAACAAACCCUUUGCAAACAAGCAUAUCGAAUCCCUGAUCAAACAUGAAUUGUCA